CACUUCACAUGUAUCAUGAUCCCCACAUGCCCUUUUGAAAGCUGUCAUACAGUCCCUACUUUUGUACAGCGUUUUCAAACGAGAGAGAAGAGAGAACUCCUUUCCUUCUUUGCAAAGCUGGUGGUCACAGAUUUCACUGAAUCUAUUUGGCUCCAUGCUUUGAACUUUGAAAUUCAGAUUCCACUCUCAAUUCUCUCACAAUUUUUACAUCUUGCUAGAGUCGUAGAGAAGUUGUGUGUUCCGGCUACUAGCGGCGGCGAUGGCGACUACACCCACUAGCAGAGGUACCGGAUCUAGCGGAUUUGGUGGUGACGGCGGGUAGGGUUUCGUGGCAAGCGGCGAAGAAAGCCGCUUCGUGGUUGUUCAGACCCGACCUAAAAAGGACCACCGUUCCAGCUUUCUUCCACAUCAAUGUUUAGCGACCAUGAAGAGGGAAGAACUGAGAGAAAAAAAGUGUGUGUGUGAGAGAGAGAGAGGGGGGGGGGGAGGAGAGACGAGAGAGAAGAUAGAGGUGGCACAUGGAACUAAGGUUCCGACGACGACAAGCUAGCACUGUGUUAUUGGUGGUAGCGGAUGGUGAUGGCAUAAGGUUUUAGGGUUCUGGUGUUCAAGUGACAUCAGAGACGCUGAGGGAAACAAUUUACAUCUUUUUCAUUGCCAAGCAUCAGGGUUUCUCGACCUUCAGUCUCCAAAAUGUUAUCACUAAGUGGCAAAGACAUAAACAUGUAGUAUAGUAUUUGGGUCCAUGGUUGUUGUAUUUCAGCUUGUUGGCAGAUUGGAUGAAGGGAUUAUUUCACCAGAUCUUGGAACACUUGAUUACAAAGGUCUUUACAAGGCAAGAAAAGAUACUUCUUUUAUAUGCAUAUAUACGUGUUAAUGGUUCCAACUUGGUUAUGUGAAUGCUCGGUUUUGUUUAUGUUUUUUGUUUACAACCUAACCCAAUCCAACCUAUAUCAACCCGAGUUUAUUUUAGCCCGCUACCCAAAUUGUGAUCUUGCCCUUUGUGCGUGUAGAUAUUAAUAGUUUAUAUGAAUUUUUUAAACUUACGGUUUUCUACUUUAUUUUUGGUUUUUUCUUAUCAAAAGAUCUAAAGCCCUUAUGAUGGGUCCAAAGUGAAUAAGUUGUUUUUGAAGAAAAAAACUGGAUCAGAGGUGAGAACCAUAUAUAUGGCCAAUGAUUUUGAAUCCUCAUGAAAAAGAAAGACAACUAAUAAAGCAAAAGAAAUGCAGGCAUCAAGGACAUGAAGAUGUAUGCCAUGGCAAUAGUCACUUUAUUUUUUAAUAUACAUUGAUUAUUUGAUUUAUUUUAUAAAAUUAAAGGUAUUAUUUUGGUAGAAACUUACAUUUGAAAUAUUGUUUGAAUUAAUAUGCAUAAGUGUGUUAUCUCAGUUUUGACUUAUGUUACUUAAGGGAAGGCACCGACUUGCGAGCGAGGUGACCAUUCUAUGGCUUCUUUUGUGUUAAAUUGCACACAACAUUUAAUUAUUUUGAGAAUUCCAAGGCCUUGGCCUCAUCCUUAACUCUAAGUUUUUAGCCAGUGAGUAUGGCCCCUAAGAAGAGUUUUGAUUAAGAAGUUGACCAAAAUGUCGGAGAGUGUAGUGAGCGGGCUGCUUUCAUGAGUCUUGAAGACAAGGUGUGUGAUGUGGUUGAAGUGGCCGGGCUAAUCGUUAUGUCAACAACAUUAACUGUUACAGCCGAUCUUACUCAUAAGCAAGGGUGGAUGUUGCGGGGCAUGAAAUCGGGAUAGAGUGGGCAGUUUUCAAGAUCCGGAAGGCUUGGAACCUGAAAAGUGUUCUGAAACCGACGAAUCUCAUGAAAGCUCCAAGUCGGCUUCCUCCAAAUCAGAGUCGUAAAUGAGCCAUGGUUCUUGAUAUAUCUAACUACUAAUAAACUGUAACCAGUUUAAUGUAAUUACUAAUAAACUGUAACUAAUUUGAUGUAUGUAAUUACUUGGGUUUGUCCAAAUAUAUGUAAAUACCAUGAAACAGGAUAUGAGGAACAUUUCGCCUUAA
This is a long non-coding RNA of Helianthus annuus (common sunflower), 2011 nucleotides long. RefSeq lists it as uncharacterized. Lineage: Eukaryota; Viridiplantae; Streptophyta; Magnoliopsida; Asterales; Asteraceae. The record is from RefSeq and is a predicted model, not a curated record. The transcript is spliced from 5 exons.